This is a long non-coding RNA of Aegilops tauschii subsp. strangulata, 834 nucleotides long. RefSeq lists it as uncharacterized. The record is from RefSeq and is a predicted model, not a curated record. Lineage: Eukaryota; Viridiplantae; Streptophyta; Magnoliopsida; Poales; Poaceae.
CUUUACACACAUACACAUAACAUCAUUGUUUACUUCCACAAUUUUUUUCAGAUUUUUUUGGAACCGAAAAUUUUGAUUUUUGAUUUUUUCUUCAAGAAAAGUCCUCCAUAGAGGCCAAGAGCUAAACGUCCGUUCUCAUUACCGGGGGCCUAUAAAUUUGCCCGCUCGCCGGGGGUCGAAGAGCAUCACACGUUCCCCGGACUCAAAGCAACGAGCGAGCCAGCACUUUCUGCUCAGAUCACCCGAUGGGUUCCAGGUCCUGCUCCUACGUCUUCUUGCUCGGCCUUUGCUCCCUGCUGCUAGUGGUGCUUUCAGGCCAGCGCACGCUAGCUCGAGACACUCCCGUGUCCACAGCAACGGCCUUGGCUCCAUUUGUUCAUGCGCCUGCCAAGGGCGACGCCGGCGGCCACCGUGCUGAUGUGGAUAAGCCUCGAGUAUCGGAUGAGAAGCCAACAAUAACCGGAAUAAUCUGGAGGCCCGUGCCUAAGAUCCACUGCCCGUCCAUCUUUUGCGGUACCAAGGCUGCCACUGCCACUGCCCCUGCGGCAACGGCACAUCCAUGACAAGAAGAAGAUAGAGUGGUGGUUCGCAAUGUAAUCAUAUGCAUGUUUUCCUACCCUGGUUUUAGUAAUUUAGAUAUAUAUGUAUGUGUUCCACGAGUGUUGCAGCGUGCCUGCAAAGGCCUCUCGAUGGAUACUAGUAGUGCUAUGGUAGCACGGUCGGGUUGUAGUUUCAUUCAUUGUAUCUGUCGAUCAUGCAAUUGGUUGCUGUCUCUCGGUCCUUUUUUUGUUGUUGUUGAGGAAUAACAACGUGUUCAUUUUUUUUUUUGAGGAA